UACAGAGGGUGCGAGCGUUAAUCGGAAUUACUGGGCGUAAAGCGUGCGUAGACGGUUAUUUAAGUCGGGUGUGAAAGCCCCGGGCUCAACCUGGGAAUUGCAUUCGAGACUGAAUAGCUAGGGUACGGUAGAGGGAAGUGGAAUCUCCGGUGUAGCGGUGAAAUGCGUAGAUAUCGGAAGGAACAUCAGUGGCGAAAGCGACUUCCUGGACCAGUACCGACGUUCAGGCACGAAAGCGUGGGGAGCAAACAGG
RNAcentral lists this ribosomal RNA (253 nucleotides) under uncultured bacterium. RNAcentral describes it as "partial 16S ribosomal RNA". It matches the Rfam family "Bacterial small subunit ribosomal RNA", at positions 524 to 776 of the family's 1533-position model. The record is from RNAcentral.